AGCUUUAUAGUCAAUUUUAUAUGAUAUUAGAUUGCAAUUCUAAAGUAAGAUUUAUUCUUAAAGCUU
RNAcentral lists this transfer RNA (66 nucleotides) under Pentatomidae sp. GM-2014. RNAcentral's name for it is "tRNA-Cys". The record is from RNAcentral. Lineage: Eukaryota; Metazoa; Arthropoda; Insecta; Hemiptera; Pentatomidae.